RNAcentral lists this ribosomal RNA (253 nucleotides) under uncultured bacterium. RNAcentral's name for it is "partial 16S ribosomal RNA". It matches the Rfam family "Bacterial small subunit ribosomal RNA", at positions 524 to 776 of the family's 1533-position model. The record is from RNAcentral.
UACGUAGGGGGCAAGCGUUGUCCGGAUUUAUUGGGCGUAAAGCGCGUGUAGGCGGCCAGGUAGGUCGGUUGUGAAAACUGGAGGCUCAACCUUCAGAGGUCGACCGAAACCAUCUGGCUAGAGUCCGGGAGAGGAGAGUGGAAUUCCUGGUGUAGCGGUGAAAUGCGCAGAUAUCAGGAAGAACACCCGUGGCGAAAGCGGCUCUCUGGAACGGUACUGACGCUGAGACGCGAAAGCGUGGGGAGCGAACAGG